UUAGAUCCAAGAUAUCUCACAUUUUCAAAGAGGGAAACAAAUGGGUAUAUCAAUGCUGUUUUUUUUUAUUAUAAUACUUUGGAGAAUUCUCUUCUUAUUUGUGUUUUUGAAAGUUUUUCAAGGGAUAAGUUGGGCAUGUCCAGCUAUCGUUUUUGCUAGAUGUUUGAUGGACUAAGUUUUAGACCUCCCAUACUUUUUGUUUUUCAUUUUUUAUUUAAU
This 219-nucleotide long non-coding RNA is filed under the name Lathyrus oleraceus (garden pea). RNAcentral describes it as "Pisum sativum (pea) long non-coding RNA (PSAT_LNC004627)". The record is from RNAcentral. Lineage: Eukaryota; Viridiplantae; Streptophyta; Magnoliopsida; Fabales; Fabaceae.